Molecule: signal recognition particle RNA, 147 nt
Filed under: Nomascus leucogenys (northern white-cheeked gibbon)
Lineage: Eukaryota; Metazoa; Chordata; Mammalia; Primates; Hylobatidae
Description: Metazoan signal recognition particle RNA
Rfam family: Metazoan signal recognition particle RNA
About the family: The signal recognition particle (SRP) is a universally conserved ribonucleoprotein. It is involved in the co-translational targeting of proteins to membranes.
Source: Rfam by way of RNAcentral
GCCAGGCGUGGUAGUGCACGCCUGUAGUCCCAGCUACUUAGGAGGCUGAGACGGCAGGAUCACUUGAACCCAGGAGCUGAGGCUUCAGUGAGCCAUGAUUGUGCCACUGCACUCCAGCCUGGGCAACAAAGUGAGACCCUGUCUCAU